This 441-nucleotide unclassified non-coding RNA is filed under the name Hevea brasiliensis (rubber tree). The record is from RNAcentral. Lineage: Eukaryota; Viridiplantae; Streptophyta; Magnoliopsida; Malpighiales; Euphorbiaceae.
AUAAUAAACAAACACAACCCAUUGUAAUAUAAUCAUUAAAACAGUCGAACAUUAUUGCUAAACCUCCACAAAAAUCAAGUUAGAAAUAGCACAUACCCAGUCACCUUCACACUAUUUGCUUUUUCGUCACUUCCAUCCUUUCCAACAACCCAGAUAUCUCCUUCUGCAUUCUCUUCUUCAUGUUGUAAUAAUCUAUUUGAGAGUUCUCUAAUACCUUCAGCUCCUCCACCUUCUUCCUCCGCCUAUCUUCCGCCUCUUUCAAGCACAACUUCCCGAUCUUUUCGGCAUAGUCUUCGUCGAGUUUCUCUGUCUUUGCAAUGAUUAUUUGUCUCAGUCGUUCAGCCUCCCUCCGUGCCUCAUCUGCCUUGUUCUGAAACAUUCCUGCCUCUGCUUUCUUGAUUCUUACAAUGCUUUCCAAGCUCUCGAGGCCCUCUUUCUUUG